AACGUAGGAGGCGAGCGUUAUCCGGAUUCACUGGGCGUAAAGCGCAUGUAGGCGGUUGUGCAAGUCGGACGUGAAAGCCCCUGGCUCAACUGGGGGAGGAGGUUCGAGACUGCGCGACUUGAGGGUAGCAGAGGAGAGUGGAACUCCCGGUGUAGCGGUGGAAUGCGUAGAGAUCGGGAAGAACACCAGUGGCGAAGGCGACUCUCUGGGCUACGACUGACGUUGAGAUGCGAAAGCGUGGGGAGCAAACGGG
This 253-nucleotide ribosomal RNA is filed under the name uncultured bacterium. RNAcentral's name for it is "partial 16S ribosomal RNA". It matches the Rfam family "Bacterial small subunit ribosomal RNA", at positions 524 to 776 of the family's 1533-position model. The record is from RNAcentral.